CCUACGGGAGGCAGCAGUGGGGAAUAUUGGGCAAUGGGCGCAAGCCUGACCCAGCAACGCCGCGUGAAGGAAGAAGGCUUUCGGGUUGUAAACUUCUUUUAAGAGGGAAGAGCAGAAGACGGUACCUCUUGAAUAAGCCACGGCUAACCACGUGCCAGCAGCCGCGGGAAUACGUAGGUGGCAAGCGUUGUUCGGAUUUACUGGGUGUAAAGGGCGUGCAGCCGGGAAGACAAGUCAGAUGUGAAAUCCCGCGGCUCAACCGCGGAACUGCAUUUGAAACUGUUUUUCUGGAGUACCGGAGAGGUCAUCGGAAUUCCUUGUGUAGCGGUGAAAGGCGUAGAUAUAAGGAAGAACACCAGUGGCGAAGGAGGAUGACUGGACGGCAACUGACGGUGAGGCGCGAAAGCGUGGGGAGCAAACAGGAUUAGAUACCCGAGUAGUC
RNAcentral lists this ribosomal RNA (442 nucleotides) under uncultured bacterium. Its description in RNAcentral is "partial 16S ribosomal RNA". It matches the Rfam family "Bacterial small subunit ribosomal RNA", at positions 338 to 795 of the family's 1533-position model. The record is from RNAcentral.